GAGACUCUAGUAAAAUAAUUACCCUACUUUGUCAAGGUAACAUUGGAAGUGAGAGCCUUCCGAGUCUUU
This 69-nucleotide transfer RNA is filed under the name Cynoglossus joyneri (red tonguesole). Its description in RNAcentral is "tRNA-Asp". The record is from RNAcentral. Lineage: Eukaryota; Metazoa; Chordata; Actinopteri; Pleuronectiformes; Cynoglossidae.